CCUACGGGAGGCAGCAGUGGGGAAUCUUGGACAAUGGGCGCAAGCCUGAUCCAGCAAUGCCGCGUGGGUGAAGAAGGCCUUCGGGUUGUAAAG
Molecule: ribosomal RNA, 93 nt
Filed under: uncultured Tepidiphilus sp.
Lineage: Bacteria; Pseudomonadati; Pseudomonadota; Hydrogenophilia; Hydrogenophilales; Hydrogenophilaceae
Description: partial 16S ribosomal RNA
Rfam family: Bacterial small subunit ribosomal RNA
Source: RNAcentral